CAAUAGCGUAUAUUAAAGUUGUUGCAGUUAAAAGGCUCGUAGUUGGAUUUGUGGUGUACUUCGGCGGCCCGUCACUAUGUGAUGGAGCUUGCUGAAGUCGCCAUCCUUGGGUGGAUCCUGUGUGGCAUUAAGUUGUCGUGCAGGGGAUGCCCAUCGUUUACUGUGAAAAAAUUAGAGUGUUCAAAGCAGGCUUAUGCCGUUGAAUAUGUUAGCAUGGAAUAAUAAGAUAGGACCUUGGUACUAUUUUGUUGGUUUGCGCACCAAGGUAAUGAUUAAUAGGGACAGUUGGGGGUAUUCGUAUUUCAUUGUCAGAGGUGAAAUUCUUGGAUUUUUGAAAGACGAACUACUGCGAAAGCAUUUACCAAGGAUGUUUUCAUUAA
RNAcentral lists this ribosomal RNA (380 nucleotides) under uncultured eukaryote. Its description in RNAcentral is "partial 18S ribosomal RNA". It matches the Rfam family "Eukaryotic small subunit ribosomal RNA", at positions 592 to 976 of the family's 1831-position model. The record is from RNAcentral.